Molecule: ribosomal RNA, 253 nt
Filed under: uncultured bacterium
Lineage: Bacteria
Description: partial 16S ribosomal RNA
Rfam family: Bacterial small subunit ribosomal RNA
Source: RNAcentral
UACAGAGGCCUCAAGCGUUGUUCGGAUUCAUUGGGCGUAAAGGGUGCGCAGGCGGUCGGGUAAGUCGGAUGUGAAAUCCUGGGGCUCAACCUCAGAACUGCAUUCGAUACUGCCUGGCUAGAGGAUUGGAGAGGAGAGUGGAAUUCCGCGUGUAGCAGUGAAAUGCGUAGAUAUGCGGAGGAACACCGAUGGCGAAGGCAAUCCCCUGGACCUGUACUGACGCUCAUGCACGAAAGCGUGGGGAGCAAACAGG